GAUGAACGCUGGCGGCGUGCCUAAUACAUGCAAGUCGAGCGAACGGACGAGAAGCUUGCUUCUCUGAUGUUAGCGGCGGACGGGUGAGUAACACGUGGAUAACCUACCUAUAAGACUGGGAUAACUUCGGGAAACCGGAGCUAAUACCGGAUAAUAUUUUGAACCGCAUGGUUCAAAAGUGAAAGACGGUCUUGCUGUCACUUAUAGAUGGAUCCGCGCUGCAUUAGCUAGUUGGUAAGGUAACGGCCUACCAAGGCAACGAUGCAUAGCCGACCUGAGAGGGUGAUCGGCCACACUGGAACUGAGACACGGUCCAGACUCCUACGGGAGGCAGCAGUAGGGAAUCUUCCGCAAUGGGCGAAAGCCUGACGGAGCAACGCCGCGUGAGUGAUGAAGGUCUUCGGAUCGUAAAACUCUGUUAUUAGGGAAGAACAUAUGUGUAAGUAACUGUGCACAUCUUGACGGGACCUAAUCAGAAAGCCACGGCUAACUACGU
RNAcentral lists this ribosomal RNA (496 nucleotides) under uncultured bacterium. RNAcentral's name for it is "partial 16S ribosomal RNA". It matches the Rfam family "Bacterial small subunit ribosomal RNA", at positions 28 to 506 of the family's 1533-position model. The record is from RNAcentral.